RNAcentral lists this ribosomal RNA (253 nucleotides) under uncultured bacterium. Its description in RNAcentral is "partial 16S ribosomal RNA". It matches the Rfam family "Bacterial small subunit ribosomal RNA", at positions 524 to 776 of the family's 1533-position model. The record is from RNAcentral.
UACGAAGGGGGCUAGCGUUGCUCGGAAUCACUGGGCGUAAAGCGCGUGUAGGCGGAAGCGAAAGUCCGGUGUGAAAGCCCCCCGCUCAACGGGGGAAGGUCGCUGGAAACUGCGCUUCUUGAGGGCGGCAGAGGGAAGUGGAAUUGCUGGUGUAGCGGUGAAAUGCGUAGAGAUCAGCAGGAACACCCGUGGCGAAGGCGGCUUCCUGGGCCGCGCCUGACGCUGAGACGCGAAAGCGUGGGGAGCGAACGGG